This is a long non-coding RNA of Oreochromis niloticus (Nile tilapia), 2684 nucleotides long. RefSeq lists it as uncharacterized. The transcript has 2 exons. NCBI's taxonomy places the organism in Eukaryota, Metazoa, Chordata, Actinopteri, Cichliformes, Cichlidae. The record is from RefSeq and is a predicted model, not a curated record.
GAUUCGAACAUUAUUAUCCCUCUACUGCUGGGAUAUUAAAGGGUGCUGAUGACUUCAUCAUUUAUCAGUAUUUGUGAACCAUCUGUUGAAGCGUUAGCACAUCACUUCAGCUGCUCCAUCAUACUCCAUUCUGUAUCGUCCAACAAACCCACAGAGGACAGCGGUUCAAGGUUUAUGGUAGACACUGUCCCUGAUAAAACUGCUAACACCAUCCAUCUCAUCAAACAUGGAGGCGUGUAUCUAAUCUCCUAGCCUCAAGGCAGACCUGGAGGCCAGAUGGCCGCACCCUUCCUUCCCCUCAGGCCAGGCUGGAGCAAUUACUACUGCUGCUUCACACACAGACCUGUGUCACCAACGCAAUUAACAAGCUCCGGAGGAGUCUGGGCAACCAGAGAGGGACAGACUGUGUACACAGCAUGAAUGAUGAGAGGAACGAGAAAGGACGCAUCAGGUGCGCAUGUGUGUGUGUCUGAAGAGACCAGAGGAAAAGAUGAAUAAGAGAGUGCAUUUACUGUGAGAGAAGCAAUACAUUCUCCUUAAAGGUACGUGCCAAUUGGGCGAGGGUGGAGGUGUGGGUCUCUGCAAACGCACAUCCUAACAAAUACUUAGAAAAGCACACACAUAUAAAUAUACCACACAGUGUGCACGUGCAAGAUACAUUUCAGCACAGUGUGCAGCCUGUUAUUAGAGAAAUUUCCUAUUUCUCUUGCCGCUAUUGCACGCUAAUAAACAGAAUCAUUAGGGCAUGUUAUGGUGGGUUGGUGAGUGGCGGAGUUGCUCCAUUACUGGGAAACCCACAGACUCUGCCUUUUAAAAUGACGGCAGAGAAACAGGCUCCUUUAAUGGCGGCAAUCAAAGCUUCAUCCCCACCACUAGCAAGCCUGUCACGUAACUAAUUCAAUCUCACAACCCAUGAAGCAAUUAAUUCAUGUCAAUACAAAUACACAAACAGCUUUUUUUCUUCUUGCCCCAUAAGGAAAGUGGAGGUCUUAAGACUGAGCUUCUGUUUAUUCGCACACCUUUGUGACGGUGUGUGAUCAUGCUCGGUGAAGUGUACGUGGAAGAGCAGGUGUAAUUGGGUGUGGAAAAAAAGAAACCUCGUGGUCUCCCAGCUAAAUGAGAUCCGACAAUCUUUUCCUCUGCAUUUCCUCCCCUGACAACGGGCACAUCGUCCCCCUCCCCUCCCUUCUCAGGUUUGUUAUUAUUGCUCCAUGACAUAAGCAACGCACAUGAAGGGAUAAUAAAACCAGCCUCCCUUUAAUAACACGGGAGCUUGUAUCUGGCUAUGCCCAUGCCUAACUAACUUAAAUCAAUUUAGCUGCAGACACUAAAACGCUCACAACAAAAGAGAAUCUCUAAAGGGGUUUAAGUGCUCUGGGGCUUUGACAGGAGGCAAUGGCUAUUAAAUGUUGGAAGAUCAAAAGUUAAACCCAUUAGAGAAUACCAAACUAGAUGUUAUCAUCUAGAUAGCAACCAGAGGCUAAAUGAGUUUGUCAGAGUCAAUGUCUCAGUGUUUUGUUUGAGUCAAUAUCUCAAUUAUGCUCUAAGAAAGCAUUCUUGGCUUGAUGAAGCAGCUCAGGGAGAAACAGGGUGUGAAGUGAACUGCGUCACACGGUAAAGUAAUGUGAGAAAGGAACACGAGUGACGGAGAGACAAAGCCUUUCAGAUCCAGGUUAGGAGUUGAUCAAAGUGGGUUCUAGCUCAUCUGAGACUGCAGGCAUGAAGCUAGUGUGCAUUUAAAUGCAUUUGUGGAGAAGCAGAGACCCUAAAGAGCUCUCCUGCUCCAUCACCCCCUCUUGUUUCCAAACCUCCCAUUCCCAGCACUAUCUGAAUGUGUUGCUGCUUUGAAUUUUAAUGGAAAAAAAUUCUCCACUUCCCGAAUUCCCUCUUUAGGGCAUUUCAUCUUGUUUCCUGUCUCUAUCUAUCAGUAAAAAGAAAAGUCUCACAUGCCUGUAAGGUUUUCUGAUAAUGGUGACUUGGUUGACUGAUGACCUUCAUAUAUUUCUAGAGUUUUGCAAGAGAUAAAAACAAUGGCUCUUAAAGUGGAGAUACGAAUGUCAUCAUCUGCAUCCAAUCUAAGAAACAAGCAGUUUAUUCAUAGAUUUAAGACAAAAAUAGACAAAUAAAAACAAGUGAAAACAUCAGAUAGCCAGACUCCUGUGUGCUGUUAUACUAGGGAAAAAAAAGCGCUUUCAGUUUUUUCAAUAGGCUGUUGACACACCAACAUUUCCCUUGGGAAGGUAUACACUCAGUGCAUCUUAGUGUAGUGCCACAGUGGUGAAGUCAUGUUGUUGUCAAACUUGUCCCACAUAUUAUGGGUGACACAGCUUUCAAUUCUGGAUUUAAGGCAACAGAAUCAAUCACAUUAAAAACAAACUGCUGAUACAGACAGACUCGUGGCAGUACAUCAUAAAUGAAAGGUAUGGAUGAGCAGGUCAAGGUAGGAGGUGCAUACACUUGUCUGGACUGUAAUCUGUCACUCGGUGCAGAUUGGCCAGGAGUAAUGAGCCUUUACAUUACAGUACAUAAAAGGUGAUAACUGCUGGAGAGCUGUUUUGCGCAAAAUGUGGUUCAAUUUUCACCUAACAAAGAGUCAGCAACAUUCACCGAUCGAUAGAUGUCAAAAUGUCCCCCCACCUUUGAUAAUAAAUCUGACAAGCACAUGAGGAAGUGGCACAAAUCUA